CUCUCGUUUGACGAGCGACGGACGAGUGAGGAAUGUCUGGCAGACUGCCUGAGGGAGGGGGAUAACUACUGGAAACGGUAGCUAAUACCGCAUACUGUCGCAGAACCAAAGUGGGCUACCUUCCUUCCUCAUGCCAUCGAAUGUGCCCCGAUGGAAUUAGUUAGUGAGUGGGGUAAUCGCUCACCUAAGCAACCAUCCCUGGCUGGUCUGAAAGAAUGACCACCCUGACUGUAACUGACACACGGUCCUCACUCCUACGGGAGGCAGGAGUGGGAAAGAUUGCUCAAUGGGCGCCUGCCUGAUGCAUGCAUGCCGCGUGUGUAAAGAAUGCCUUCUGUUUGUAAAUUACUUUCGGCGGGAAGGAAGGUAAUCUAGUUAAUAACCUUGUUGAUUGACCUUACCCACAAAACAACCACCGGCUAACUCCCUGCCAGCAGCCGCGGUAAUACGGAGGGAGCAAGCGUUAAUCUUACUUACUGUACGUAAAGCGCACGCAGGCGGUCUGUCAAGUCGGAUGUGAAAUCCCCGGGCUCAACCUGCUGCUGCAUUCCUGCUGGCUAGCUAGAGUCUUGUAGAGGGGGGUAGAAUUCGUGGUGUAGCGAUGAAAUGCGUAUAGAUAUGGAGGAAUACCGGUGACGAAGGCGCCCCCCUGGAUACUGACUGACGCUCAGGUGCGAAUGCGUGGGGAGCAACAUGAUUAGAUAUGCUGGUAGUCCACGCCAUAAACGAUGUCUAUCUGGAGGAUGCGUCCAUGAUGCGUGGCUUCCGGUAGCUAACUCAAUAAAUCGACCUGCCUGGGGGAGUACGGCCA
This 811-nucleotide ribosomal RNA is filed under the name Klebsiella pneumoniae. Its description in RNAcentral is "bacterial SSU rRNA". It matches the Rfam family "Bacterial small subunit ribosomal RNA", at positions 81 to 888 of the family's 1533-position model. Lineage: Bacteria; Pseudomonadati; Pseudomonadota; Gammaproteobacteria; Enterobacterales; Enterobacteriaceae. The record is from RNAcentral.